AGUCGGUCAUGGUGGACAUUUUACUUCGGAAUUAACUCACUAGCUAUUGUAUAGAGAAAUGAUCCUGGCGGCGAUUUCCGCGGAAUGUCAUCCUUGUGAUCAUGGCCAAAUAUAAAGAUUCUGUCUUCGGCAAGGUUUCACCAGCUGCUGGGAGAACCACCCAUCGUUCACACCGCAAAAAUCGGGCGACUACGGUGGGCUGGUGACGUCGUAAGAAUGUCGGGCAACAACCUGGUGAAAAUGUUUUUUGAAAAUAACCCGACUGGAACUAGACGAAGAGGUGUGCAGUGAGCAAGAUGGAUCGACCAGGUAGAAGCCGAUCUGCGGGUUAGGUCUCCCUUGGCUCAGUAGGUGAAGGCGCAGCUAUAAAGUAAGACCAUGGCGGGUUGAAAAAUUUCUCGACUUCCCUGGGUACUUCCAACACUAGAAUACUAAUGCAAAAAUGGUACUGGCUUACCCAACUCUCAAAUAACAAUUGUAGAAGUGCUCAAAGAACACUAAGUUGAGAGUCGGUUUAAAGUCCCAGUAGAAACGUAAUAAAGCCAAAGAAGAAACCCGAUUUGCGGAGCUUCUGCAGACAGUGAUGCUAGUGUCAUGCAGCCACGAAUCGAGUGGUACAUCAAAGGACAACAAGGCUUUCUGAAUGGUCUAAAUGGUAAGGGCAAUAAAAUCGUGAAAUCUUUUAAUGACGAAAAAUAUGAUUUAUGUGAUAUCUUAAGACUAUAAUCAUACACAAUAUUCAAUUUCGGCAAAGUUAUUCAGUUGAGUAAAAACGCUCGGAAAGUUCCCGUCUUCAGCAAAGUUGUGUGAGACCUCUAAACUGCCAGAUUUUAGUUUAAAAAGUGUCCGCUAGUGCGUAAUAUAAAAUAUAAUUCUGUCAUAUAUCGCAUGAUCUUGACCUUACGUAAAGUUCUCGUCUUUGGCGAAUUUUGUUCACUUGAGUAAGCACAUUCUGAUUGCAGUAAUAGUAGUUAGGUAGCGCUAGUCAGUGUAAGUAUUGAUUUAAAAGAUAUGUGAAGAUCCAGAUCAUAUGGAAUGUUCCCAUCUUCGACAAAGUUGUUCGGUUGGCAUAGGCCUAUCUAAUGCACUUGAAAAGCGAAGGCAGUUUGUAAUGAUAGGUUUUAUAAACGAUGUUGUAGCACAAAGAGUGAAUGCCAAACUACACAGUGAACAAACUAUACCAGGAAUAAAAAAAAAGGACAACUAUCCGCGAAGGUGCCCACCGGUCGUCCGAGGUCAGCUCGGGUUCCGAGGGUUAUCGCUGCUAUCAAAAGGAAGAUUCGGGUGAAUCCAGUGCGUUCAAUAAGGAAAAUGGCAAAGGAACACGGAAUCAGUGAAGAUCGUAAAGGAAGAUUGCGGGGCGAAGUCGAGGGCACGGAAAAAACUCACAUGAUUACCAACCGCAUCCGGGAGCUACGAGUCGAACGAUGCAAGAAAAUCUUGAACUUCCUUAAGCGAAAAAAUCCGGUAAUCCUGUUCACCGACGAGAGCAUGUUUACCGUCGAUCCCGUAUCAAAUUCCAGA
Molecule: long non-coding RNA, 1524 nt
Organism: Ochlerotatus camptorhynchus
Lineage: Eukaryota; Metazoa; Arthropoda; Insecta; Diptera; Culicidae
Exons: 3
Source: RefSeq, a predicted model, not a curated record